RNAcentral lists this ribosomal RNA (253 nucleotides) under uncultured bacterium. RNAcentral describes it as "partial 16S ribosomal RNA". It matches the Rfam family "Bacterial small subunit ribosomal RNA", at positions 524 to 776 of the family's 1533-position model. The record is from RNAcentral.
UACGAAGGGGCCUAGCGUUGUUCGGAAUUACUGGGCGUAAAGCGCGCGUAGGCGGAUCGCUAAGUCAGGGGUGAAAUCCCAGGGCUCAACCCUGGAACUGCCUUUGAUACUGACGAUCUGGAGAUCGGGAGAGGUUGGUGGAAUUCCGAGUGUAGAGGUGAAAUUCGUAGAUAUUCGGAGGAACACCAGAAGCGAAGGCGGCCAACUGGCCCGAUACUGACGCUGAGGCGCGAAAGCGUGGGGAGCAAACAGG